ACGAACGCUGGCGGCGUGCCUAAUACAUGCAAGUCGAGCGAGCAAUUUUAGCAGAAUACCUUCGGGUAGGAAGUUAAGAGCGCGAGCGGCGGAUGGGUGAGUAACACGUGGGUAACCUGCCCUCUAGAUUGGGAUACCAUUUGGAAACAGAUGCUAAUACCGAAUAAGAAGUAAGAUCGCAUGAUCUCGCUAUAAAAGGCGGCGUAAGCUGUCACUAGAGGAUGGACCCGCGGUGCAUUAGCUAGUUGGUAAGGUAACGGCUUACCAAGGCAAUGAUGCAUAGCCGAGUUGAGAGACUGAACGGCCACAUUGGGACUGAGACACGGCCCAAACUCCUACGGGAGGCAGCAGUAGGGAAUCUUCCACAAUGGACGCAAGUCUGAUGGAGCAACGCCGCGUGAGUGAAGAAGGUUUUCGGAUCGUAAAGCUCUGUUGUUGGUGAAGAAGGAUAGUUAGAGUAACUGCUAAUUAUUUGACGGUAAUCAACCAGAAAGUCACGGCUAACUACGUGC
This 512-nucleotide ribosomal RNA is filed under the name uncultured Bacillota bacterium. Its description in RNAcentral is "bacterial SSU rRNA". It matches the Rfam family "Bacterial small subunit ribosomal RNA", at positions 29 to 508 of the family's 1533-position model. The record is from RNAcentral. Lineage: Bacteria; Bacillati; Bacillota.